AACAACUACGUAAACUCUCGGUCGUUUAUAACACAAAACCGCGUAACAUCCAUCUUUUCUCUCUUCAACCCCUCUGCAAUGCAUCGUUAUUCUCUUCAACCUCUCUUUCUGAUCUCGUUUACAACGUUAAAUUAGCUAUACAUGAGUUUUGACCUUUUAUCUCCAGAUUCUCCUCCUCUUUGAAGAGCCCUCUCUCAAAUUUCUUCAAGCCAGAUCUGCACUUCUUUCCUCACAAUCGUCUCUCUGUUGAAAUCACUGAAGCCUUCAUUCAGACUUUCAACCCUUUUAAUCUCUCUCAAGAUUGAAGCAGAGAGCAAAUUAAAGAAGCUAAGCUGAGUCUUUCUCUGUCGCUCUUGAGGGUUCUUGGAAAAUCAAGAUGGACAUAGAUUGGAGUGACACAUCGUCUUCAUCGUCUAAUAAUUCAGAUGAAGAUUUUGAUGACCUUGUAGAUUGUAUGUGUUUGAAUUUGAUGCAGGAGUAUGAAGAUUCCUUUAAAUCUAAGGUACCAAAAAGAAUUUGGUGUACUGAAUGCACUUAAUUUAUCUGAUGAUGGUGCAGCACAAAUGGGAGCCCUUGGAACUUAUCUGACAAAUCAAAUAUGGGCAUUAUUCAGAGGCAAUGCUAGAUGAAGUUAUUUUUAUAAUUCUCCAAUGUUUUGCUUUGAUUACCUAUUUGUGUAAUUCUCUAAUAUUUUGUUUUGGUUAUGUAUGACUAAAAUUAAUGUUUGUACAACUAAAAGUGCAUAUGACACUUGAAGUAAUUAAUGUAACUCUUUUAUUGUAUUUAAAUUUA
Molecule: long non-coding RNA, 792 nt
Organism: Cornus florida
Lineage: Eukaryota; Viridiplantae; Streptophyta; Magnoliopsida; Cornales; Cornaceae
Exons: 3
Source: RefSeq, a predicted model, not a curated record